This is a long non-coding RNA of Canis lupus familiaris (dog), 452 nucleotides long. RefSeq lists it as uncharacterized. NCBI's taxonomy places the organism in Eukaryota, Metazoa, Chordata, Mammalia, Carnivora, Canidae. The record is from RefSeq and is a predicted model, not a curated record. The transcript has 3 exons.
UCUUUUUUUUUUUUUUUUAAUUUCUCAUGAUUAUUUGGUUGGUGCUCUGCUUGUCAGUUCUGCUGGUCUCCUUUGAAUCUCUCACAUGGCUGUAGUCAGAUGGCAACUGAGGCUGGAAAUCUCCAGGAUGGCUUCACUCCUGUAUCUGACACCUCACUGGGCAUGUCUGGAAGGCCAAACUUAGCUGGAAUGCUGACGAGAUUCAUCUACCAUAUUGAAAGCAUAAGCCAAACAAUGUGGGACAUCUAAAGCUUGGGCCAAGUUUCUUCAACUCUUUUGAAGCAAAGAUAAAGGCAAUAGAAAGAAAAGGGCUUAAAAUAUUCUCCAGCCCCAGUGAAGCCUUGUGAUACCUGAAGUUCUAGCUGACAUCUUGGCUGAUUGCAUCCUCAUGAGAAACCCUGAGCCAGAACCACAUAACCAAGUAGGUCCCAGGAUUCCUGAUCCUUAGAAAG